ACGACCAUAUCCAUUGGACAAUACUGGAUCCCGUCCGCUCUCCGUGAUGUCAAGCCAAUGAGAGGCAGAUUAGUAGUUGGGUGGGUGACCACCAGCGAACACCGGCUGUUGUAUGUU
Non-coding RNA from Cladobotryum mycophilum, 117 nucleotides. NCBI's taxonomy places the organism in Eukaryota, Fungi, Ascomycota, Sordariomycetes, Hypocreales, Hypocreaceae. The record is from the annotation of a GenBank genome assembly.